CCUACGGGAGGCAGCAGUGAGGAAUAUUGGUCAAUGGGCGAGAGCCUGAACCAGCCAAGUAGCGUGAGGGAAGACGGCCCUACGGGUUGUAAACCUCUUUUGUAAGGGAAUAAAGUGAGGCACGUGUGCCUGGUUGAGGGUACCUGAAGAAAAAGCAUCGGCUAACUCCGUGCCAGCAGCCGCGGUAAUACGGAGGAUGCGAGCGUUAUCCGGAUUUAUUGGGUUUAAAGGGAGCGUAGACGGGUUGUUAAGUCAGUGGUGAAAGUCUGCGGCUCAACCCUCAAAUGGCCGUUGAUACUGGCAGUCUUGAGUACAGUUGAGGUAGGCGGAAUUCGUGGUGUAGCGGUGAAAUGCUUAGAUAUCACGCAGAACCCCGAUUGCGAAGGCAGCUUACUAACCUGCCACUGACAUUGAGGCACGAAAGUGUGGGUAUCAAACAGGAUUAGAUACCCGAGUAGUC
This 460-nucleotide ribosomal RNA is filed under the name uncultured bacterium. Its description in RNAcentral is "partial 16S ribosomal RNA". It matches the Rfam family "Bacterial small subunit ribosomal RNA", at positions 338 to 795 of the family's 1533-position model. The record is from RNAcentral.